CAGCUCCAAUAGCGUAUAUUAAAGUUGUUGCAGUUAAAAAGCUCGUAGUCGGAUUUCGGGUCGGGCCGAGCGGUCUGCCGAUGGGUAUGCACUGUUUGGCGCGGCCUUCUUUCCGGAGACCGCGGCUACUCUUAACUGAGCGGGCGUGGGAGACGGAUCGUUUACUUUGAAAAAAUCAGAGUGUUUCUAGCAGGCAGCUCGCUCUUGCAUAGGUUAGCAUGGGAUAAUUUAAUAGGACUCUGGUGCUAUUUUGUUGGUUUCGAACACCGGAGUAAUGAUUAAAAGGGGCAGUCAGGGGCACUCGUAUUCCGUCGAGAGAGGUGAAAUUCUCAGACCAAUGGAAGACGAACCACUGCGAAAGCAUUUGCCAGGGAUGUUUUCAUCA
Molecule: ribosomal RNA, 385 nt
Filed under: Phaeocystis sp.
Lineage: Eukaryota; Haptophyta; Phaeocystales; Phaeocystaceae
Description: partial small subunit ribosomal RNA
Rfam family: Eukaryotic small subunit ribosomal RNA
Source: RNAcentral